This 329-nucleotide unclassified non-coding RNA is filed under the name soil metagenome. RNAcentral's name for it is "partial contains 5.8S ribosomal RNA, internal transcribed spacer 2, and large subunit ribosomal RNA". The stretch from base 1 to 120 matches the Rfam family "5.8S ribosomal RNA", at positions 35 to 154 of the family's 154-position model. The record is from RNAcentral.
GAUGAAGAACGCAGCGAAAUGCGAUAAGUAAUGUGAAUUGCAGAAUUCAGUGAAUCAUCGAAUCUUUGAACGCACAUUGCGCCCCUUGGUAUUCCGGGGGGCAUGCCUGUUCGAGCGUCAUUACAACCCUCAAGCUCUGCUUGGUCUUGGGCGUCACCGGUCCCCGGUGUGCCUUAAAAUCAGUGGCGGCGCCAUCUGGCUCUAAGCGUAGUACAUACUCUCGCUACAGACGUCCGGUGGAUGCUGGCCAGCAACCCCCAAUUUAUCAAGGUUGACCUCGGAUCAGGUAGGGAUACCCGCUGAACUUAAGCAUAUCUAUAAGCGGAGGA